Molecule: ribosomal RNA, 406 nt
Filed under: uncultured bacterium
Lineage: Bacteria
Description: partial 16S ribosomal RNA
Rfam family: Bacterial small subunit ribosomal RNA
Source: RNAcentral
AUUGAACGCUGGCGGCAGGCCUAACACAUGCAAGUCGAACGCGUGGCGGACGGGUGAGUAAUGUCUGGGAAACUGCCUGAUGGAGUGGGAUAACUACCGGAAACGGUAGCUAAUACCGCACACCAUCAGAUGUGCCCAGAUGGGAUUAGCUUGUUGGGAGGGUACCGGAUCACCAAGGCGACGAUCCCUAGCUGGUCUGAGAGGAUGACCAGCCACACUGGAACUGGGACACGGUCCCGACUCCUACGGGAGGCAGCAGUGGGGAAUCUUGCACAAUGGGAGCAAGCCUGAUGCAGCCAUGCCGCGUGUAUGAAGAAGGCCUUCGGGUUGUAAAGGACUGUCAGCGGGGAGGCGUUACCCGCAGAAGAAGCACCGGCUAACUCCGUGCCAGCAGCCGCGGUAAUUC